CAAGUGUUGGCCCACAGAACCAUUUGUUUUCUUCUGGUACAAGAUCUAGGAUCUCAGCCAUUAAGGAAAACUUCCCAUAGAAACAGACCUGAAGAUCUCUUCAUCAUUAGACAACUCAUUGUGACAGUAGGAAUAUCCAGGCUAGAAGGCAGGGCAGAGUGUGAGCCACAUUGAACCGUUUCUAUUAAGAUGUUAUACUACCCUUUCAAGGAACAUCGAAAAGGAAAAAAAAAAAUCCAUAACUCUUGAGAUGUACCCAACAGGCUGACAAUUACAUAAGCUUUUGAAAGAAAACUGAGUUGAUGAUUUUCUAGGAGUCCCUCUCCUUGCUGCUUACCUUGGACUCUACUAGUUUCAGGAUGAAACCUUCAAUCAACCAGCAGCCUGUACAUUGGGGUGACACGGUAUCUUCUACAGAUGAAUUUGUCAGAAGUAAGAAUGGACUUAUUAACGAAUGUAUUGACCAUGUUGAUUACAAAGUGUUUGGAGAUGAUCAAGAUGGAACUUGAUAAAGCAUCUGGAAAUGGAAAAUUCUCACAGUAGGACCUGCUGACUUGAUUGCUUCAUCACCAUGGCAACGUUCAUCGGUCAGUAUAGCCAGAUCUGCAGUCAGGCUCCUGUCCAGCCCUGCUCAGUGAAGGGCUAUGUGGUGAGCACCACGUGAUAGCACAGCAGAGAUGCAACGCCUGCAACGUGGAACUGGCUCACAUCGGAACAGUGGAUUUAGAGCCCAGGCUUGAGGACAAGAUCAAGUAAUGAACAUCCACUGGGCAUACAUUGGGUCCCUUUCCACAUUGCACAUCUGUCAAUGUGCAAUUGAUGAGCAAGGGAGAUUGCCCUGUUUUACAGUCAAGAAAACUGAACAGAAAGGAGAGAAGCUUGCCCAAGGACACA
Non-coding RNA from Microcebus murinus (gray mouse lemur), 894 nucleotides. The record is from RefSeq and is a predicted model, not a curated record. Lineage: Eukaryota; Metazoa; Chordata; Mammalia; Primates; Cheirogaleidae.